Molecule: ribosomal RNA, 279 nt
Filed under: uncultured bacterium
Lineage: Bacteria
Description: partial 16S ribosomal RNA
Rfam family: Bacterial small subunit ribosomal RNA
Source: RNAcentral
UGCCAGCAGCCGCGGUAAUACAGAGGGUGCAAGCGUUAAUCGGAAUUACUGGGCGUAAAGCGUGCGUAGGUGGCUUGUCAAGCCAGAUGUGAAAGCCCCGGGCUUAACCUGGGAACUGCAUCUGGAACUGGUUGGCUAGAGUACGGUAGAGGGUAGUGGAAUUUCCUGUGUAGCGGUGAAAUGCGUAGAUAUAGGAAGGAACACCAGUGGCGAAGGCGGCUACCUGGACCGGUUCUGACGCUGAGGCGCGAAAGCAUGGGGAGCAAACAGGAUUAGAUA